This 89-nucleotide microRNA precursor is filed under the name Pelobates cultripes (western spadefoot toad). Lineage: Eukaryota; Metazoa; Chordata; Amphibia; Anura; Pelobatidae. The record is from RNAcentral.
CUCCAGAUGUUGCUGAACUACAACUCCCAUGAUUCUAUGAAUUAAAUAGGCCGAGAAUCAUGGGAUUUGUAGUUCAGCAACAUCUGGAG